GAAUCUGAAGACGCUGAAGUUUUAGUUGAUCUUCUUCUCAGGCUUCAGGGAAGUGGUAGGCUUGAGUGUCCUAUCACUAUUGACAAUGUUAAAGCUAUCAUCUGGGAUAUGUUCGUUGCUGGAACUGAUACUUCAUCAACAACAACAGAAUGGGCUCUAGCAGAAAUGAUCAGGAACCCAAGAGUCCUGAAGAAGGCACAAGCUGAGAUAAGGGAAUCCCUUAAAGGGAAGGAAACAAUUUCCGAAGAAGAUAUUCAAGGAUUACAAUACCUAAAGCUGGUGAUCAAAGAAACUCUAAGGAUACACCCUGCAGUACCCUUGUUACUU
This 327-nucleotide unclassified non-coding RNA is filed under the name Hevea brasiliensis (rubber tree). Lineage: Eukaryota; Viridiplantae; Streptophyta; Magnoliopsida; Malpighiales; Euphorbiaceae. The record is from RNAcentral.